UAUAUCAUGGAAUUGGCCUUCUAUUGGUCCCUUAUGUUUUCUCAGUUUACAGACAUUAAAAGAAAGGACUUCCUGAUCAUGUUUGUGCAUCACUUGGUCACCAUUGGGCUUAUCUCCUUCUCCUACAUCAACAAUAUGGUUCGAGUGGGAACUCUGAUCAUGUGUCUACAUGAUGUCUCAGACUUCUUGCUGGAGGCAGCCAAACUGGCCAAUUAUGCCAAGUAUCAGCGGCUCUGUGACACCCUUUUUGUGAUCUUCAGUGCUGUUUUUAUGGUUACACGACUAGGAAUCUAUCCAUUCUGGUAAGUGGUAGGCUGUAGAGUUGUGGUAGGUAUGAGCCUAAUGAUACCUUUUUGCCAAUUCUCAUUUUGCCCAUUCAGUUUUUCUGUUCUAUUCUAUUCUACUUUCGCCAAUAGAACACAAGAACCCUAUUGCCCUGCUUUUACCUUAGCCUGUGCUGACCUUCUGUGGACUCUCACAGGACCUCUGCUGCCUCACACCGUAUUUCUAGCAAGGUCGGAUCCAGACUCAGAGUACCCGGCUUGGUUGGCUUCUCAGGACUGACUCAUCUCAGGAACAGUCCUCAUUUUA
This 591-nucleotide small RNA is filed under the name Pan troglodytes (chimpanzee). Its description in RNAcentral is "retained intron". Lineage: Eukaryota; Metazoa; Chordata; Mammalia; Primates; Hominidae. The record is from RNAcentral.